This 468-nucleotide ribosomal RNA is filed under the name uncultured bacterium. RNAcentral describes it as "partial 16S ribosomal RNA". It matches the Rfam family "Bacterial small subunit ribosomal RNA", at positions 28 to 507 of the family's 1533-position model. The record is from RNAcentral.
GACGAACGCUGGCGGCGUGCUUAACACAUGCAAGUCGAACGGAAAGGCCCUGCUUUUGUGGGGUGCUCGAGUGGCGAAGGGGUGAGUAACACGUGAGUAACAUGCCCUUGACUUUGGGAUAACUUCAGGAAACUGGGGCUAAUACCGGAUAGGAGCUCCUGCUGCAUGGUGGGGGUUGGAAAGUUUCGGCGGUUGGGGAUGGCCUCGCGGGUUAUCAGCUUGUUGGUGGGGUAGUGGCUUACCAAGGCUUUGACGGGUAGCCGGCCUGAGAGGGUGACCGGCCACAUUGGGACUGAGAUACGGCCCAGACUCCUACGGGAGGCAGCAGUGGGGAAUAUUGCACAAUGGGCGGAAGCCUGAUGCAGCAACGCCGCGUGCGGGAUGACGGCCUUCGGGUUGUAAACCGCUUUCGCCUGUGACGAAGCGUGAGUGACGGUAAUGGGUAAAGAAGCACCGGCUAACUACGUG